UUCAAAAACUUCAAUACUAUUCGUCUAGAUAUAUUUUAUCCUUAUCCAUAAAUCUUCUCUUUCCUUAUAAAGAUCUAAUGAUCUUGUUUUUUUAGGUAUUUUUUCUUCUCCGUAACAUGGAAUCACCUUUGAAAUCAAUUUCCAUUCAUCAAUCAAUCACCGUGGCGGAGCUAGAAUCAAUGAUUUUGUUUUUAUAAAAAUCUGGGAAGAAGACACAACAAUCCAGAUAUGUUUUAAUUUGAUGUUUUGUUUAUAUGUGUUUUAUUUCGAUUUGAAUUUUGAUUUCUUAUUUUGGUUUUGUUUAUGUUUUGAUUUUGUUGAUUUAUGAGAAGAAGAAGACGAAGAAGAACGAAAUCUAGGUGUUUUUCAGUUGGAUUGAAAACUAUUUUGGGAAUAGGCUGAUUCUGUUUUUAUAAACCAGGUAUAUAUGUAUAAUUGGUUUCAAUUAUUUUUUUUGAUGAAUUGGUGUGCUUGUGUUCGAAUAUUUCAUGCUUACUUAGCGUGUAGCUUUGAAGUACAUGAUGUUUUUGAGCUAUGAAUUUUACGAUAAUUUUUAUGUA
Long non-coding RNA from Papaver somniferum (opium poppy), 560 nucleotides. RefSeq lists it as uncharacterized. The transcript has 2 exons. Lineage: Eukaryota; Viridiplantae; Streptophyta; Magnoliopsida; Ranunculales; Papaveraceae. The record is from RefSeq and is a predicted model, not a curated record.